This 73-nucleotide transfer RNA is filed under the name Angiostrongylus costaricensis. It matches the Rfam family "tRNA". Rfam says of the family: Transfer RNA (tRNA) molecules are approximately 80 nucleotides in length. Lineage: Eukaryota; Metazoa; Nematoda; Chromadorea; Rhabditida; Metastrongylidae. The record is from Rfam by way of RNAcentral.
GAUUUCGUAGUGUAGCCGCUAUCACAUCUGUCUAACACACAGAAGGUCGGCGGUUCGAGUCCGCCCGAGAUCA